RNAcentral lists this ribosomal RNA (177 nucleotides) under Salmonella enterica. RNAcentral describes it as "partial 16S ribosomal RNA". It matches the Rfam family "Bacterial small subunit ribosomal RNA", at positions 1 to 173 of the family's 1533-position model. Lineage: Bacteria; Pseudomonadati; Pseudomonadota; Gammaproteobacteria; Enterobacterales; Enterobacteriaceae. The record is from RNAcentral.
AAAUUGAAGAGUUUGAUCAUGGCUCAGAUUGAACGCUGGCGGCAGGCCUAACACAUGCAAGUCGAACGGUAGCACAGAGAGCUUGCUCUCGGGUGACGAGUGGCGGACGGGUGAGUAAUGUCUGGGAAACUGCCUGAUGGAGGGGGAUAACUACUGGAAACGGUGGCUAAUACCGCA